RNAcentral lists this ribosomal RNA (490 nucleotides) under uncultured bacterium. Its description in RNAcentral is "partial 16S ribosomal RNA". It matches the Rfam family "Bacterial small subunit ribosomal RNA", at positions 30 to 507 of the family's 1533-position model. The record is from RNAcentral.
AUUGAACGCUGGCGGCAGGCCUAACACAUGCAAGUCGAACGGUAACAGAAAGCAGCUUGCUGCUUUGCUGACGAGUGGCGGACGGGUGAGUAAUGUCUGGGAAACUUCCUGAUGGAGGGGGAUAACUACUGGAAACGGUAGCUAAUACCGCAUAACGUCGCAAGACCAAAGAGGGGGACCUUCGGGCCUCUUGCCAUCGGAUGUGCCCAGAUGGGAUUAGCUAGUAGGUGGGGUAACGGCUCACCUAGGCGACGAUCCCUAGCUGGUCUGAGAGGAUGACCAGCCACACUGGAACUGAGACACGGUCCAGACUCCUACGGGAGGCAGCAGUGGGGAAUAUUGCACAAUGGGCGCAAGCCUGAUGCAGCCAUGCCGCGUGUAUGAAGAAGGCCUUCGGGUUGUAAAGUACUUUCAGCGGGGAGGAAGGGAGUAAAGUUAAUACCUUGGCUCAUUGACGUUACCCGCAGAAGAAGCACCGGCUAACUCCGUG